Molecule: transfer RNA, 72 nt
Filed under: Ictidomys tridecemlineatus (thirteen-lined ground squirrel)
Lineage: Eukaryota; Metazoa; Chordata; Mammalia; Rodentia; Sciuridae
Description: Spermophilus tridecemlineatus (thirteen-lined ground squirrel) tRNA
Rfam family: tRNA
About the family: Transfer RNA (tRNA) molecules are approximately 80 nucleotides in length. Their secondary structure includes four short double-helical elements and three loops (D, anti-codon, and T loops). Further hydrogen bonds mediate the characteristic L-shaped molecular structure. tRNAs have two regions of fundamental functional importance: the anti-codon, which is responsible for specific mRNA codon recognition, and the 3' end, to which the tRNAs corresponding amino acid is attached (by aminoacyl-tRNA synthetases). tRNAs cope with the degeneracy of the genetic code in two manners: having more than one tRNA (with a specific anti-codon) for a particular amino acid; and 'wobble' base-pairing, i.e. permitting non-standard base-pairing at the 3rd anti-codon position.
Source: Rfam by way of RNAcentral
GGAGAUGUAGUUUAGUGUUAGAGUGCUUGCCUAGCAAGAGUAAGGUCCUGGGUUUAAUCCCCAGUACCACCA